GUCCAGACUCCUACGGGAGGCAGCAGUGGGGAAUAUUGCACAAUGGGGGAAACCCUGAUGCAGCGACGCCGCGUGAGUGAAGAAGUAUUUCGGUAUGUAAAGCUCUAUCAGCAGGGAAGAAAAUGACGGUACCUGACUAAGAAGCCCCGGCUAACUACGUGCCAGCAGCCGCGGUAAUACGUAGGGGGCAAGCGUUAUCCGGAUUUACUGGGUGUAAAGGGAGCGUAGACGGCAUGGCAAGUCAGAUGUGAAAGCCCGGGGCUCAACCCCGGGACUGCAUUUGAAACUGUCAGGCUGGAGUGCGGGAGAGGUAAGUGGAAUUCCUAGUGUAGCGGUGAAAUGCGUAGAUAUUAGGAGGAACACCAGUGGCGAAGGCGGCUUACUGGACUGUAACUGACGUUGAGGCUCGAAAGCGUGGGGAGCAAACAGGAUUAGAUACCCUAGUA
RNAcentral lists this ribosomal RNA (446 nucleotides) under uncultured bacterium. RNAcentral describes it as "partial 16S ribosomal RNA". It matches the Rfam family "Bacterial small subunit ribosomal RNA", at positions 329 to 792 of the family's 1533-position model. The record is from RNAcentral.